AACGAACGCUGGCGGCAUGCCUAACACAUGCCAGUCGAACGAGACCUUCGGGUCUAGUGGCGCACGGGUGCGUAACGCGUGGGAACCUGCCCUUAGGUUCGGAAUAACUCCCCGAAAGGGGUGCUAAUACCGGAUAAUGUCUUCGGACCAAAGAUUCAUCGUCUUUGGAUGGGCCCGCGUUGGAUUAGCUGGUUGGUAGGGAAAAAGCCUACCAAGGCGACGAUCCAUAGCUGGUCUGAGAGCAUGGUCAGCCACACUGGGACUGGGACACGGCCCAGACUCCUACGGGAGGCAGCAGUGGGGAAUAUUGGAAAAUGGGCGAAAGCCUGAUCCAGCAAUGCCGCGUGAGUGAUGAAGGCCUUAGGGUUGUAAAGCUCUUUUACCCGGGAUGAUAAUGACAGUACCGGGAGAAUAAGCUCCGGCUAACUCCGUG
Molecule: ribosomal RNA, 433 nt
Filed under: uncultured bacterium
Lineage: Bacteria
Description: partial 16S ribosomal RNA
Rfam family: Bacterial small subunit ribosomal RNA
Source: RNAcentral